CAGCCGCCACGGGAAUACGGAGGGAGCUAGCGUUGUUCGGAAUUACUGGGCGUAAAGCGCACGUAGGCGGAUCGAUCAGUCAGGGGUGAAAUCCCAGAGCUCAACUCUGGAACUGCCUUUGAUACUGUCGAUCUGGAGUAUGGAAGAGGUGAGUGGAAUUCCGAGUGUAGAGGUGAAAUUCGUAGAUAUUCGGAGGAACACCAGUGGCGAAGGCGGCUCACUGGUCCAUUACUGACGCUGAGGUGCGAAAGCGUGGGGAGCAAACAGGAUUAGAUACCCCGGUAGUCCCUGUCUCUUAUAC
Molecule: ribosomal RNA, 301 nt
Filed under: uncultured bacterium
Lineage: Bacteria
Description: partial 16S ribosomal RNA
Rfam family: Bacterial small subunit ribosomal RNA
Source: RNAcentral